CAUAAAACUAGUUUUCAGAAAAUCAUAGUACGUAUAAGUAUGAAAUCAAAUGUAAUUCAUCAAUAUUUCAAGAAACACAACAAAUCAUAAUAUCUCAACCGUAGCAUAUGAAAAUCAGGUGCUCAUCAAUCUAUGCUAAGACACGAGUUCUUGCAGAGAAAUUCUGACAUGAACAGGAUUGAGUGUAAUCAUAAGAUAUGCUCUAGUACUACAAUCACGUGAACGCUGAUGCUAAACGCAUCACAUACGAGCCCUAGUUGCCUAUUGCAACCUAGGACAGGACUGACAUCUACAAUGGAUCCAAAGUGAGCGUGCGGUGCGAUGUGAACAUACACGUGAAGCCUGGCCCUUACUCGAGGUCAGUACUACAUCAGUGCAAGCAUGCAUGAUGAGCAGAUAAAAUGUAUAUGAACAUGCCAUGACAAUUUAUAAAUCUCAACAAUAUAAUAGUACUUUUAAAAUGAAAUAAAACAUGGCAUGAUAAGCAUAAUAUUAAAUCCAAAUGCAUUUGUUGAAACCAUAAACUUUAUAUACAUAAUAUAUGUAAAAACAAAUGCCCACUCACUAAUACGUAGUAGAAUUGUAGCCUCCUAGCCUUGCUUGACCUCAUACGUCCUCAGGAUAAUUCUUUCCUAUAUGUGAAACAACUAUAGUAAUUAAUUAAUUAAAACAUACACGAAAAGGCUAGAAAAAUCAACCAUAGUUUGCUCAAACGGAGGGUUUUAAUACACGAAAAGGUCUCUCGUCCAACCACAAGUAUAGAACAAAUGCUAAGCUUCCAAGGAGUUUAAAAACAGUAAUCACAACCUCGAUCUUUGAAGAUUGAAAGGGUUUGAGGGUCGUCCGUACAGGUUGUACGGAAAUGAAAGACGAUCUGAGAGAGGGAGAAGAGAGAAAGGUCAACGGGAGUUGUGUGGGUGAGUGUGAGUGUGUGGUCCAGCUUUUGGGUUACUAAGCACAACAAAAAAUUACUAACUUUAAGUUGCACAAACUUAGGAACUAACCAAUUUAGUUUAAAACCCAAACUUAAGCCAUAACACCACAUAACAUACUCAAUGUCCAAGGGCAAUUUAGACAUUUCACACCAUCGAUAACAAUAAUUCUGGACGGGCUGUGAAAAAUCCCCUCCCGUCCCCCUUAAACCCUAACCCUAAUAUCGCUCACCAACGCUUCCAGGUUGUCCUUGUCGUUGUUCGACGACUGGUCUGCAAGCCACUUGACCUCCACCACGAGGUAAGGUUGGGUGUGGAUGAGGUCGGUGAU
Molecule: long non-coding RNA, 1263 nt
Filed under: Malus domestica (apple)
Lineage: Eukaryota; Viridiplantae; Streptophyta; Magnoliopsida; Rosales; Rosaceae
Description: long non-coding RNA (MDOM_LNC005587)
Source: RNAcentral